GAGUGUGUGUGUAGUAGGUUAGGUAGUUGGCGGCGGCGGCGGCGGCGGCGGCGGGUUUCUCUCUCUACACCUCUCGGCGGUGGCUUGGCGAUCGUAGAGAGAGAGAGAUGGCGACGAAGAGAAAUGGGGGAAACGGGGGGUCGUUUUAAACGAGCCCCACCCGCCCCUGCCCGCGUUGAAAUUCUCGUCUAACUAAAGAAGGGAAAAAAAAAGGGGCAGGUGAGGAGGGGAG
This 232-nucleotide long non-coding RNA is filed under the name Eucalyptus grandis. Its description in RNAcentral is "long non-coding RNA (EGRA_LNC007400)". Lineage: Eukaryota; Viridiplantae; Streptophyta; Magnoliopsida; Myrtales; Myrtaceae. The record is from RNAcentral.